Molecule: ribosomal RNA, 824 nt
Filed under: Mycobacterium sp.
Lineage: Bacteria; Bacillati; Actinomycetota; Actinomycetes; Mycobacteriales; Mycobacteriaceae
Description: bacterial SSU rRNA
Rfam family: Bacterial small subunit ribosomal RNA
Source: RNAcentral
UGAGUAACACGUGGGCAAUCUGCCCUGCACUUCGGGAUAAGCCUGGGAAACUGGGUCUAAUACCGGAUAGGACCUUUAGACGCAUGUCUUUUGGUGGAAAGCUUUUGCGGUGUGGGAUGGGCCCGCGGCCUAUCAGCUUGUUGGUGGGGUGAUGGCCUACCAAGGCGACGACGGGUAGCCGGCCUGAGAGGGUGUCCGGCCACACUGGGACUGAGAUACGGCCCAGACUCCUACGGGAGGCAGCAGUGGGGAAUAUUGCACAAUGGGCGCAAGCCUGAUGCAGCGACGCCGCGUGGGGGAUGACGGCCUUCGGGUUGUAAACCUCUUUCACCAUCGACGAAGGUUCGGGUUUUCUCGGAUUGACGGUAGGUGGAGAAGAAGCACCGGCCAACUACGUGCCAGCAGCCGCGGUAAUACGUAGGGUGCGAGCGUUGUCCGGAAUUACUGGGCGUAAAGAGCUCGUAGGUGGUUUGUCGCGUUGUUCGUGAAAUCUCACGGCUUAACUGUGAGCGUGCGGGCGAUACGGGCAGACUAGAGUACUGCAGGGGAGACUGGAAUUCCUGGUGUAGCGGUGGAAUGCGCAGAUAUCAGGAGGAACACCGGUGGCGAAGGCGGGUCUCUGGGCAGUAACUGACGCUGAGGAGCGAAAGCGUGGGGAGCGAACAGGAUUAGAUACCCUGGUAGUCCACGCCGUAAACGGUGGGUACUAGGUGUGGGUUUCCUUCCUUGGGAUCCGUGCCGUAGCUAACGCAUUAAGUACCCCCGCCUGGGGAGUACGGGCCGCAAGGCUAAAACUCAAAGGAAUUGACGGGGGGCCCGCACAA